GUUAAUGUAGCUUAUUCCAAACAAAGCACCGAAAAAGCUUAGAUGGAAUUUUUCCCCCCUUC
RNAcentral lists this transfer RNA (62 nucleotides) under Mus terricolor (Earth-colored mouse). Its description in RNAcentral is "partial tRNA-Phe". The record is from RNAcentral. Lineage: Eukaryota; Metazoa; Chordata; Mammalia; Rodentia; Muridae.